RNAcentral lists this ribosomal RNA (521 nucleotides) under uncultured bacterium. RNAcentral's name for it is "partial 16S ribosomal RNA". It matches the Rfam family "Bacterial small subunit ribosomal RNA", at positions 355 to 891 of the family's 1533-position model. The record is from RNAcentral.
UGGGGAAUAUUGCACAAUGGGCGAAAGCCUGAUGCAGCAACGCCGCGUGAGUGAUGAAGGCCUUCGGGUUGUAAAGCUCUGUCUUUUGGGACGAUAAUGACGGUACCAAAGGAGGAAGCCACGGCUAACUACGUGCCAGCAGCCGCGGUAAUACGUAGGUGGCAAGCGUUGUCCGGAUUUACGGGCGUAAAGGAUGCGUAGGCGGAUUUUUAAGUGAGAUGUGAAAUACCCGGGCUUAACUUGGGUGCUGCAUUUCAAACUGGGAAUCUAGAGUGCGGGAGAGGAGAAUGGAAUUCCUAGUGUAGCGGUGAAAGUGCGUAGAGAUUAGGAAGAACACCAGUGGCGAAAGGCGAUUCUCUGGACCGUAACUGACGCUGAGGCAUGAAAGCGUGGGUAGCAAACAGGAUUAGAUACCCUGGUAGUCCACGCCGUAAACGAUGAGUACUAGGUGUAGGAGGUAUCGACCCCUUCUGUGCCGCAGUUAACACAAUAAGUACUCCGCCUGGGAAGUACGAUCGCAA